GCCCCCCCCCGCUUGCCCUGCCGUGUGUUUAUGACGUUGUUCCCCCCUUCCUCGGCCUUAAGCUGGGGACCCGCGUAGCGGGCGGAGUUCCGUGUGGCUGGCGGCCGGCCGCGGUGGCCCGGCCGCCCCUAGCACGUGGACCUGAACACCCCCCCCCAACCGGGAGAGCCCUGGGGCGAAUGUCGUGGGCAAGGCGGCGGCGCCUCGCCCUUCCUUUGGCUGUGACCGGUGUGAUCGAGCCCCACUGUGUUGCUGUGCCGGCCCGUCGGGGUCUGGCCUGCCAUGGGGGCUGGGUUUUUGCCAGCAGGUCCUCUAGUUCAGGCACGCGGGUGGAGUGGGGGCUGCCCCGGCCUGGUUGUUUUUUUUUUUUUUUUCUUUCGUGGCCCUAAGCCGCGGCACCGAGGCAACGCGCGACGAAGGGUCGUGGGCCCAUGAAGGCGAGAAAAGGGAGAGCAUCGAGAUACGGUUGUUGGGGGGUGUGAGCCGGAGGGGGGGGCAAGCCGAGGAGGCGCGAGCCUCGUUCUUCCCGCCCCCCCCACCACCCCGGGCCCGCGACCCCCGUGACUAGCGCGGGUCGUGCGAUGCGUUGUGUGUGCUUUUUUUUUUUUUUUUUUUUCCGGUCUCUUGCCGUCCCCCGGCUUUUCCGGAGGGAAAGCCGAUCGCUGCGAGGCGGGCGAAAGCCAGUGGCCCGUGGCAUGGUCGGUGGCAUUUUCUCGAACGCUCGGAUGGGGUUUCCCUGGCGGGAGUGGGGAGUGCAACACGCGCCCCCCCCCCCUGCCCAGCGGUCCCAUCCUGCCCGUUGUCUCGCUAAGGGAGCCGUUGUCCGCGGCCACGGGGGGCACCCCGCUCCCCGUGCGCUUUGUCUCCGCCGUGACGGAGCCGUGAAAGCCGCGGAGCCGGCUCGCCGGUGUCCGCGGUCUCGGGAGCCGUCGGGGAGGCUCGGCGGCGCCAAGCCGCGGAGAGGGCCUCUCGGGGACGUGUCCCGGAUGCUCGCCACCUGUGCCCCGAGCGGUGGUGGAGCCGGCCGGCGUCGUGUAUACGCCGGGUUGCCGUUGUCUCAGGAGCAGCAUGGCCGUGGGGCCCUGGUCGCCGUUUGCCGCGGCGGCCAUCCUUUCCUGUCUGUGUCCGAUCGAUGAGGCUUUUCGGGUCGCGUUGGAGAGGGCCCCCGGCGGCCCGGCUCUUCCGGGGCUCUCUGUCAUGGGGAAGCCACGGUAGCGUCCGGUGCUCGGGCAGGGCGGUCUCCUUUCCGGUUCGCUUCCCGUCGCAGGCGAGGUGGCGCCCCUCCCGCUGCCGGGAGGGCGUCUUUACCGUCCCGGGCUGUGUGACGGCCGCGUGGCCCCGUGAGCCCACAGGUGUCCUUCCAAGAACCAUGCGAGGUGUUGCUGGUGCCGGCCCCGGUCCCGGGCAAGCCGCCCCGUGGGUGCCGGCCGCGAGCAGCGCUGGGGCGGCGGUGCGGCUGGAGCUGAGCCGAGACGCAGUGGCCAGAGAGAAGGGCGAAACCGAACCGGGAUGGCGCGGACGGGGGAAAGAGCCCGUUCCGUGCACGCGCUCCUUGGUCGCGCCGCCGCCUGCUGCCGAGCGAAGCCGCCCCGGCCGAGGGGCCUCGGUGUCCGGGCCGCGCCCGCCUCGUCGGGUCGCUGUCUCCUCUAGCACGUCCGGUGCUUUUUUUCCGCACGGCCCGGCGGGGGGGGAAGGGGGACGUGUCGGGGCGGGCUUCGCUCCCGGAGCGGGCCCCUCCCUUCGGCCCCGAACCUCCUCGCCGGCGGCCGGUCGCGCUCAGCCGCGACCGGUCGGUGGGCGGGCCGGCCUCGGGGGGCGGGUCAGCCCCAGCCGAGACCCGUUCCACGCGCCGGGCGCGUGACUCGAGCGCGAGGCCGAGUCUCGAACGCGGUGUCGCGGCCCCAGCCCCCCCCCCACCUCCUUCCUCGAGACCGAGAGAGAGAGAGAGAGAGAGAGAGAGAAGAGGGCAGGAAGGGGGAAAAAGGGGGGGGGCUCCCCGCGUCGUCCGAAGCCGAAGCUGCGCAGCGGUCCCGGCUCCUUGCCCGCGGCGUCGCGGGAAGGGCCGGCCGCCGGGGUCGGCCGUUGCCGCGGGGCGUCCCGCCUCUCCCGCCCGGCGGGCGGAGGCGGUUAGCCCCGCGCCUGCGCGGUGCCGUUCCCCGCCCCAGGCGCCGCCGGGCGCGCCACGUCGCCGGCCGCCGCCGCCGCCGGCGCCCGUCGCCGCCACGCCGCCGCCGCCGGCACGUCCGUGAUGCCGCUCCCGCGGGUCGGAGCGGUGAAAGAGCCGGGGCGGUCAGGGGUUGGCGGAGGCGGUCCGCCGGCGGGGGGUCCGGGCGUCCGCGCGCCGGUGCGCGUUACGGUGGCGCCGCCGUGGGUGGCGGC
RNAcentral lists this unclassified non-coding RNA (2379 nucleotides) under Delichon urbicum (Northern house-martin). RNAcentral describes it as "partial external transcribed spacer". The record is from RNAcentral. Lineage: Eukaryota; Metazoa; Chordata; Aves; Passeriformes; Hirundinidae.